Molecule: ribosomal RNA, 259 nt
Filed under: uncultured bacterium
Lineage: Bacteria
Description: partial 16S ribosomal RNA
Rfam family: Bacterial small subunit ribosomal RNA
Source: RNAcentral
GUCCACGCCGUAAACGGUGGAUGCUGGAUGUGGGGACCAUUCCACGGUCUCCGUGUCGGAGCCAACGCGUUAAGCAUCCCGCCUGGGGAGUACGGCCGCAAGGCUAAAACUCAAAGAAAUUGACGGGGGCCCGCACAAGCGGCGGAGCAUGCGGAUUAAUUCGAUGCAACGCGAAGAACCUUACCUGGGCUUGACAUGUUCCCGACAGCCGUAGAGAUACGGUCUCCCUUCGGGGCGGGUUCACAGGUGGUGCAUGGUC